AGAAUUUUAGAUUAAUUUAAAUCGAAAACUUUCAAAGUUUUAGAUAGGAAAUAGAUUCCUAAGUUCUG
Molecule: transfer RNA, 68 nt
Filed under: Lepetodrilus guaymasensis
Lineage: Eukaryota; Metazoa; Mollusca; Gastropoda; Lepetellida; Lepetodrilidae
Description: tRNA-Trp
Source: RNAcentral